GGUGAAUGCAUUGAUGUGAUAGCUUUAUGCUGCUUGGUCACCUAAAAGUUUUGGUCAGAGUUCAAAGUUAGUUCUAGUUUGUAUGAUUGUCAAAGUAAAUGCCACGUUAAGUAGGCCAGAAAUCAAACUUGUAUAUUUUAUCAUAACCCUAUGAGAGCUGCAUAUGUUCAUGCUUCCAGUUGAAUUGAAAUGAGGACCCAAGGACUGUUUGUUUUCAUUACACCAAUUAGAAGAUGGAAGC
RNAcentral lists this unclassified non-coding RNA (241 nucleotides) under Hevea brasiliensis (rubber tree). Lineage: Eukaryota; Viridiplantae; Streptophyta; Magnoliopsida; Malpighiales; Euphorbiaceae. The record is from RNAcentral.